AAAGAAAAUAACAAUGAUUCCCUCAGUAACGGCGAGCGAAGAGGGAUAAGCUCAAAUUUUAAAUCUGUUGGGUUCCACUUAACAGAGUUGUAUUUUGAAGAAACGUUUUCUGCAUCCAGGAUUAGCCUAAAUCCUUUGGGAUAAGGUAUCAUGGAGGGUAAGAAUCCCGUUCAUGGUUAAUCUUAAGGAAGCUCUACGAUACGUUUUCCAAGAGUCGAGUUGUUUGGGAUUGCAGCUCAAAAUGGGAGGUAAAUUUCUCCUAAGGCUAAAUAUUGGCGAGAGACCGAUAGCGAACAAGUACCGUGAGGGAAAGAUGAAAAGAACUUUGAAAAGAGAGUUAAACAGUACGUGAAAUUGUUGAAAGGGAAACGAUUGAAG
This 378-nucleotide ribosomal RNA is filed under the name Funneliformis mosseae. RNAcentral's name for it is "eukaryotic LSU rRNA". It matches the Rfam family "Eukaryotic large subunit ribosomal RNA", at positions 58 to 428 of the family's 3401-position model. The record is from RNAcentral. Lineage: Eukaryota; Fungi; Glomeromycota; Glomeromycetes; Glomerales; Glomeraceae.